Molecule: ribosomal RNA, 468 nt
Filed under: uncultured bacterium
Lineage: Bacteria
Description: partial 16S ribosomal RNA
Rfam family: Bacterial small subunit ribosomal RNA
Source: RNAcentral
GACGAACGCUGGCAGCGUGCUUAACACAUGCAAGUCGAACGGAAAGGCCCUGCUUUUGUGGGGUGCUCGAGUGGCGAACGGGUGAGUAACACGUGAGUAACCUGCCCUUGACUUUGGGAUAACUUCAGGAAACUGGGGCUAAUACCGGAUAGGAGCUCCUGCUGCAUGGUGGGGGUUGGAAAGUUUCGGCGGUUGGGGAUGGACUCGCGGCUUAUCAGCUUGUUGGUGGGGUAGUGGCUUACCAAGGCUUUGACGGGUAGCCGGCCUGAGAGGGUGACCGGCCACAUUGGGACUGAGAUACGGCCCAGACUCCUACGGGAGGCAGCAGUGGGGAAUAUUGCACAAUGGGCGGAAGCCUGAUGCAGCAACGCCGCGUGCGGGAUGACGGCCUUCGGGUUGUAAACCGCUUUCGCCUGUGACGAAGCGUGAGUGACGGUAAUGGGUAAAGAAGCGCCGGCUAACUACGUG